Molecule: ribosomal RNA, 505 nt
Filed under: uncultured bacterium
Lineage: Bacteria
Description: partial 16S ribosomal RNA
Rfam family: Bacterial small subunit ribosomal RNA
Source: RNAcentral
GACGAACGCUGGCGGCGUGCCUAAUACAUGCAAGUGGGACGCAAGGAAACACACUGUGCUUGCACACCGUGUUUUCUUGAGUCGCGAACGGGUGAGUAACGCGUAGGUAACCUGCCUAUUAGCGGGGGAUAACUAUUGGAAACGAUAGCUAAUACCGCAUAAUAUUAAUUAUUGCAUGAUAAUUGAUUGAAAGAUGCAAGCGCAUCACUAGUAGAUGGACCUGCGUUGUAUUAGCUAGUUGGUAAGGUAAGAGCUUACCAAGGCGACGAUACAUAGCCGACCUGAGAGGGUGAGCGGCCACACUGGGACUGAGACACGGCCCAGACUCCUACGGGAGGCAGCAGUAGGGAAUCUUCGGCAAUGGACGAAAGUCUGACCGAGCAACGCCGCGUGAGUGAAGAAGGGUUUCGGAUCGUAAAGCUCUGUUGUAAGUCAAGAACGUGUGUGAGAGUGGAAAGUUCACACAGUGACGGUAGCUUACCAGAAAGGGACGGCUAACUACGUG